GAUGAAGAACGUAGCGAAAUGCGAUAAGUAAUGUGAAUUGCAGAAUUCAGUGAAUCAUCGAAUCUUUGAACGCACAUUGCGCCCGCCAGUAUUCUGGCGGGCAUGCCUGUUCGAGCGUCAUUUCAACCAUCAAGCCCCCGGCUUGUGUUGGGGACCUGCGGCUGCCGCAGGCCCUGAAAACCAGUGGCGGGCUCGCUAGUCACUCCGAGCGUAGUAAUACAUCUCGCUCAGGGCGUGCUGCGGGUUCCGGCCGUUAAAAAGCCUUAUUUACCCAAGGUUGACCUCGGAUCAGGUAGGAAGACCCGCUGAACUUAAGCAUAUCAAUGCGGAGGA
RNAcentral lists this unclassified non-coding RNA (333 nucleotides) under soil metagenome. RNAcentral's name for it is "partial contains 5.8S ribosomal RNA, internal transcribed spacer 2, and large subunit ribosomal RNA". The stretch from base 1 to 120 matches the Rfam family "5.8S ribosomal RNA", at positions 35 to 154 of the family's 154-position model. The record is from RNAcentral.